Molecule: long non-coding RNA, 1079 nt
Organism: Drosophila nasuta
Lineage: Eukaryota; Metazoa; Arthropoda; Insecta; Diptera; Drosophilidae
Exons: 3
Source: RefSeq, a predicted model, not a curated record
UCACUUUAAGUUCGGGCCUUGAAUUUCCGGCUGAGAUUAUAUCGAAUAUUCUCUUAUCACAAGUAAUUUACUUUUUAAAUCGGACCAGCACUAAUUUGUCAGACAAUCUUCAUUAGGGUUUGAGAGGAGGAGGGUAGAAGAGGAGACAUUAAUAAUGCUGUCGGAGUCGUGUCAUCAAAAAUCCGUCAAACCGAUUAAGCGACGACCAGAAGCCACAUUCAAAUACACAUUAAUGUCAGCUUAAGUCUGAGGCUGAAAUCGAGAGACGAAGACGGAAACGGAGACAGAGACGAAGGCGAAGACGAAGACCAGUCAAAAGGCAAAAGACCAGACUCGAUUUGCGAAUGCGAAUGUUCAAUGUUUAUACCUGGGCUAAGACCUGUCCCUAAAAAAAAGUGCCAAGGAGCGAGGGAUACUCUGCUCUUUAUUGUCGUCGUCGUCUUGUUUUUAUGGAUUUAUGUGUGGGUCGCCAAUGGCCAUUAACUGCAGGUAGCCCAAACCCGAAACCCAAAUACUAACCCGAAAUCCAUUUCAGCAUAGUUUAUGGGUUUUCUCUGAGCUAUUCGUGUCCACAUGUCGAAAUGAGUCGAGUCGAGUCGACUCGAUCGUGGUGCUGUGGUCUAUGCUUUUCUCACCCACAGCGGAGGGUGCAACGAUUAGUUCUGCUUCUGUUUUAAGUUUGGUUGCCUGUUGACCAAAAGUGUGAAAUUGACAAUUCCAUGCCCUGGGAAAUUAUGACAGAUUAUGCCAGCAAAACAGUUUUCCCACCUCACAGCAACCAAAAAAAACAAGAUUUCACAGCUGCUUAGCAAUUAAUACACUUGUCCAACGGCGUUUUUUUUUUUGUAUUUAAUCCGGAAGCUAAUUUAGUUUAAAUUUUGUUCGGCAAAUACUGUGAGAUCAUUUCUAUCGAAAUCUGCAAGUAUUCCCACGCCUCGAUCAAUAAUUCAAAUGAACUGGUUCCAGAUCUUGUUGUCAUUCUCUCUGCACGCGCUUCAAAUUCGAUUGACAUAGAAAACAAAGUUGUGUGUUAAUCGCUGUUUUGCAUAAUCUAAUAAUUAAAUAAGAAUUUAAUUCGA